CGCAGGCUGCAACCCGCCUGCGUGAAGUUGGAAUUGCUAGUAAUCGCGGAUCAGCAUGCCGCGGUGAAUACGUUCCCGGGCCUUGUACACACCGCCCGUCACACCAUGAGAGUCGGGAACACCCGAAGUCCGUAGUCUAACCGCAAGGAGGGCGCGGCCGAAGGUGGGUUCGAUAAUUGGGGUGAAGUCGUAACAAGGUAGC
This 202-nucleotide ribosomal RNA is filed under the name uncultured bacterium. RNAcentral describes it as "partial 16S ribosomal RNA". It matches the Rfam family "Bacterial small subunit ribosomal RNA", at positions 1299 to 1500 of the family's 1533-position model. The record is from RNAcentral.